UACGUAGGGGGCAAGCGUUAUCCGGAUUUAAUGGGCGUAAAGGGUGUGCAGGCGGCUGAGUAAGACAGAUGUGAAAUCCCCGGGCUUAACCUGGGAACCGCAUAUGUGACUGCUUGGCUAGAGUGCGUCAGAGGGAGGUGGAAUUCCACGUGUAGAAGUGAAAUGCGUAGAUAUGUGGAAGAACACCGAUGGCGAAGGCAGCCUCCUGGGACGCAACUGACGCUCAUACACGAAAGCGUGGGGAGCAAACAGG
This 253-nucleotide ribosomal RNA is filed under the name uncultured Sutterella sp. Its description in RNAcentral is "partial 16S ribosomal RNA". It matches the Rfam family "Bacterial small subunit ribosomal RNA", at positions 524 to 776 of the family's 1533-position model. Lineage: Bacteria; Pseudomonadati; Pseudomonadota; Betaproteobacteria; Burkholderiales; Sutterellaceae. The record is from RNAcentral.